GGAGGGGUGCCGGAGUGGUCGAACGGGACGGUCUCGAAAACCGUUGACCCCCUAUGUGGGGUCCGUGGGUUCGAAUCCCACCCCCUCCGCCA
Molecule: transfer RNA, 92 nt
Filed under: Candidatus Fermentibacterota bacterium
Lineage: Bacteria; Pseudomonadati; Candidatus Fermentibacterota
Also listed under: 2 other names
Description: Candidatus Fermentibacteria bacterium tRNA-Ser
Rfam family: tRNA
About the family: Transfer RNA (tRNA) molecules are approximately 80 nucleotides in length. Their secondary structure includes four short double-helical elements and three loops (D, anti-codon, and T loops).
Source: RNAcentral